RNAcentral lists this ribosomal RNA (430 nucleotides) under bacterium. RNAcentral describes it as "partial 16S ribosomal RNA". It matches the Rfam family "Bacterial small subunit ribosomal RNA", at positions 355 to 776 of the family's 1533-position model. The record is from RNAcentral.
UGGGGAAUAUUGGACAAUGGGCGAAAGCCUGAUCCAGCCAUGCCGCGUGUGUGAAGAAGGCCUUUUGGUUGUAAAGCACUUUAAGCGAGGAGGAGGCUACUUAGAUUAAUACUCUAGGAUAGUGGACGUUACUCGCAGAAUAAGCACCGGCUAACUCUGUGCCAGCAGCCGCGGUAAUACAGAGGGUGCGAGCGUUAAUCGGAUUUACUGGGCGUAAAGCGUGCGUAGGCGGCUUCUUAAGUCGGAUGUGAAAUCCCUGAGCUUAACUUAGGAAUUGCAUUCGAUACUGGGAAGCUAGAGUAUGGGAGAGGAUGGUAGAAUUCCAGGUGUAGCGGUGAAAUGCGUAGAGAUCUGGAGGAAUACCGAUGGCGAAGGCAGCCAUCUGGCCUAAUACUGACGCUGGGGUACGAAAGCAUGGGGAGCAAACAGG